CUGGGCGGCAUGCCUUACACAUGCAAUUCUGAACGGCAGCGCGGGGCAACCUGGCGUGCCAGUGGCGAACGGGUGAGUAAUAUAUCGGAACGUACCCUGGAGUGGGGGAUAACGUAGCGAAAGUUACGCUAAUACCGCAUACGAUCUAAGGAUGAAAGUGGGGGAUCGCAAGACCUCAUGCUCCUGGAGCGGCCGAUAUCUGAUUAGCUAGUUGGUGGGGUAAAGGCCUACCAAGGCAUCGAUCAGUAGCUGGUCUGAGAGGACGACCAGCCACACUGGAACUGAGACACGGUCCAGACUCCUACGGGAGGCAGCAGUGGGGAAUUUUGGACAAUGGGCGAAAGCCUGAUCCAGCAAUGCCGCGUGAGUGAAGAAGGCCUUCGGGUUGUAAAGCUCUUUUGUCAGGGAAGAAACGGUGAGGGCUAAUAUCCCUUGCUAAUGACGGUACCUGAAGAAUAAGCACCGGCUAACUACGUGCCAGCAGCCGCGGUAAUACGUAGGGUGCAAGCGUUAAUCGGAAUUACUGGGCGUAAAGCGUGCGCAGGCGGUUUUGUAAGUCUGUCGUGAAAUCCCCGGGCUCAACCUGGGAAUUGCGAUGGAGACUGCAAGGCUAGAAUCUGGGCAGAGGGGGGUAGAAUUCCACGUGUAGCAGUGAAAUGCGUAGAGAUGUGGAGGAACACCGAUGGCGAAGGCAGCCCCCUUGGGUCAAGAUUGACGCUCAUGCACGAAAGCGUGGGGGAGCAAACAGGAUUAGAUACCCUGGUUAGUCCACGCCCUAAAC
Molecule: ribosomal RNA, 781 nt
Filed under: Massilia sp. VCS-44
Lineage: Bacteria; Pseudomonadati; Pseudomonadota; Betaproteobacteria; Burkholderiales; Oxalobacteraceae
Description: bacterial SSU rRNA
Rfam family: Bacterial small subunit ribosomal RNA
Source: RNAcentral